This 402-nucleotide ribosomal RNA is filed under the name uncultured bacterium. RNAcentral's name for it is "bacterial SSU rRNA". It matches the Rfam family "Bacterial small subunit ribosomal RNA", at positions 32 to 414 of the family's 1533-position model. The record is from RNAcentral.
AAUCAACGCUGGCGGCGUGCCUCAGACAUGCAAGUCGAACGCGAAAGUUUCCUUCGGGGAACAAGUAGAGUGGCGCACGGGUGAGUAACACGUAGGUAAUCUACCUUUGGAUGGGGAAUAACAACCGGAAACGGUUGCUAAUACCGCAUAAUGCAGCGGCACCUAAUGGUGACAGUUGUUAAAGCGGGGGAUCGAAAGACCUCGCGUCUGAAGAGGAGCCUGCGGCGGAUUAGCAGUUGGUAAGGUGAUGGCUUACCAAGGCGACGAUCCGUAACCGGCCUGGGAGGGCGGUCGGUCACACUGACACUGACAUACGGGCCAGACUCCUACGGGAGGCAGCAGUCGGGAAUUUUGGGCAAUGGGCGAAAGCCUGACGCAGCGACGCCGCGUGAGGGAUGACGG